UUGUGAUCCAUAUCAGCUGCCACUGUGGGGUACCCUAUCAGUUUCUUCUUGCUAGAGGCAACUGCUACUACAAGCUAAUGUCAUAAUAGACUGUCUCUGUAGAUUUCACUACUGACUUGACUAAGAGGACUCAUCAUUCGUUCAGUUUCUUUGCCUUAUCUGGUUUUCAGUUCAUACCGUUUUGGAAAUACAGAUGAAGCUAUAAUUCUUUGCAAAGGGAUUCUUUUUAGAUUAAGCUUACAAUGGUUCAAAUGAGAUCAAUUCUAUAAUCAGCAAUGGAAAGUCCUCUGUUAUGUUCAGUAAUUAUGUAGUGAUAGCAACUUGAGUUGAAAUCAUGUUCAUACUUGAUUAUGGUCUCAUAAGAAAAAGCCCUCGGUGCCUUUUUCAUUUGGUCUCUUUUAAGCUAUUUUUGGUUAAAAUGACAUUUUUUUUCCCGGAGUUCUUAGCAACUUGAUAUCUGAUGAGUAGUGGCUAA
RNAcentral lists this long non-coding RNA (475 nucleotides) under Rosa chinensis. RNAcentral's name for it is "sRNA RchiOBHm_Chr5g0062061". The record is from RNAcentral. Lineage: Eukaryota; Viridiplantae; Streptophyta; Magnoliopsida; Rosales; Rosaceae.